AGGGUUGUAGUUAAACAUAACAUUUGAUUUGCACUCAAAAAGUAUUGAAUUAUCAAUCUUCCUUA
RNAcentral lists this transfer RNA (65 nucleotides) under Gongylus gongylodes. RNAcentral's name for it is "tRNA-Ala". It matches the Rfam family "tRNA". Rfam says of the family: Transfer RNA (tRNA) molecules are approximately 80 nucleotides in length. Lineage: Eukaryota; Metazoa; Arthropoda; Insecta; Mantodea; Empusidae. The record is from RNAcentral.